AACGUAGGUGGCAAGCGUUAUCCGGAUUUACUGGGCGUAAAGGGUGUGCAGGCGGGAAGACAAGUGGUGUAUGAAAUCUCCCAGCUUAACUGGGAUAGGUUAUGCCAGACUGUCGUUCUAGAGGACGAGAGAGGGGGGUGGAAUUCCGGGUGUAGUGGUGAAAUGCGUAGAGAUCCGGAGGAACCCCAGAGGCGAAGGCGGCCCCCUGGCUCGUACCUGACGCUCAGCCACGAAAGCAUGGGGAGCGAACGGG
This 253-nucleotide ribosomal RNA is filed under the name uncultured bacterium. RNAcentral's name for it is "partial 16S ribosomal RNA". It matches the Rfam family "Bacterial small subunit ribosomal RNA", at positions 524 to 776 of the family's 1533-position model. The record is from RNAcentral.